RNAcentral lists this ribosomal RNA (115 nucleotides) under Sarcophilus harrisii (Tasmanian devil). Lineage: Eukaryota; Metazoa; Chordata; Mammalia; Dasyuromorphia; Dasyuridae. The record is from RNAcentral.
AUCUAUGGUCACACUACCCUGAAAAACCUGAUAUCUAAUCUUGGAAGCUAAGCAAGGUCAGGCCUGGUUAGUACUUGGAUGGAAAACAACCUUGGGAUAUUGGAUACUAUAGGCU